CGAAGUAAAAGUCGUAACAAGGUUUCCGUAGGUGAACCUGCGGAAGGAUCAUUAAAGAGUAAGGGUCUUCGGGCCCGAUCUCCAACCCUUUGUUUAACUACCAUGUUGCUUUGGCGGGCCCGUCUCACGACCGCCGGAAGUUUGGCUUCGACCAAACUUCUGGCCCGUGCCCGUCAGUGGCCCCUUCAAAUUCUUGAUCAAGUAUGAUGUCUUAGUUAAAAACUUAAUAGUUAAAACUUUCAACAACGGAUCUCUUGGUUCUG
RNAcentral lists this unclassified non-coding RNA (263 nucleotides) under plant metagenome. RNAcentral's name for it is "partial contains small subunit ribosomal RNA, internal transcribed spacer 1, and 5.8S ribosomal RNA". The stretch from base 1 to 54 matches the Rfam family "Eukaryotic small subunit ribosomal RNA", at positions 1778 to 1831 of the family's 1831-position model. The record is from RNAcentral.